This is a non-coding RNA of Triticum aestivum (bread wheat), 135 nucleotides long. NCBI's taxonomy places the organism in Eukaryota, Viridiplantae, Streptophyta, Magnoliopsida, Poales, Poaceae. The record is from Rfam.
CAACUACUCCCUCUGUCCGAAAUUUCUUGUCUUAGAUUUGUCUAGAUACGGAUGUAUCUAAUACUAAAAUGUGACUUGAUACAUUCGUAUCUAGACAAAUCUAAGACAAGAAUUUUGGGACCGAGGGAGUACUUU